RNAcentral lists this long non-coding RNA (594 nucleotides) under Castor canadensis (American beaver). RNAcentral describes it as "lncRNA (ENSCCNG00000016873.1)". Lineage: Eukaryota; Metazoa; Chordata; Mammalia; Rodentia; Castoridae. The record is from RNAcentral.
GUGCACCUCCUGCCGCCUCUGUUCCCCCGGGGCCGUCCUCCCCCAAAUCUGCCGCUCUGAGCCCCCUGCACACCCCGCCCACCUGUGAAGUUGGAGCCGGACUUGAACUCACUGCUUCUCCCUCCCUCCCUUCUCCCCUCGUUUUGGAAGUUUCUGCCUCCCCUGAACUUAGCAAUGGCACUUCUAUGUGUCCUGGCCUGUUCUCCAAAUUGCUGAGACCCCUGCCGCCAAACCUGCCUCGCGCCUGGGUUUAGGAAGCCUGCGGGGCACCCAGCACGGGUGGGCACCGCCCUGACUGACCACGGCUCCCUGGUUAUAACCCGUCCUGUGUUCUCCACGCUGAAGAGCUCAGGUCUGAAGCGGUUUCCCGGCUGUUAGCCUUGCUCGGAAGAACACCUGGAAAGGAACGGCUCCUUAGACCCCAGGAUGUAAGAGGACAGCUGGACAUGGCCAGCCAGGAUGGGUGCCAGAGGAGCAGGUUCUUGCCAUCUGUCGGGGUGGCUGACUCCUGCUGUGGUUCCAUUUCUCAGCUGACAGAGCAUCUGACCAGGGAAUUUAUGCUGCUCGCACAACACAGAAAUCGCUGAGAGAGGC